UCGGUUCGGGAGGUGGCGGAGAGUCUCGAACGGAACCGGCCGCGUCUGCUGGCUGAUGGUCAGGCAGGAGGCACCGACACCAGCCGCUCAGCUAGCUCCCCCUGCUAGCGACGACAGGGCUAACAUCACAACACGCAAACUUUACGUAGCGUCGCCUCCAUCAUUUCUUCUUACCAGGCGCCUGGAUGAUUGACUGACUGAAGACACGCCCCCGGCCUGCGGCCAUUGGUUGGAUUUUUGUGGCAAUUUACAGAUUUGUUUACUGAGUCAUGAGACGACUUCUGCUUUCAAGAGACAACUUCUGUAUUCUUGAGACAACUUCUGGAUUCAUGAGACAACUUCUGGAUUCUUGAUACAACUUCUGGAUUCUUGAGACAACUUCUGGAUUCAUGAGGCAAUUUCUGGAUUCAUGAGACAACUUCUGGAUUCAUGAGGCAACUUCUGGAUUCUUGAUACAACUUCUGGAUUCGUGAGACAACUUCUGGAUACAUGAGGCAACUUCUGGAUACAUGAGGCAACUUCUGGAUUCAUGAGACAACUUCUGGAUUCAUGAGGAAACACAUCCGUCAGAGACAUCUAAUCCUUUAAAAUGAACAAAAUGAACCUGCUCUCUGGCUCUGGGUAUAAACACUCCACAUUCCCCAGCCUACUGUAGUGUAUAUUCAUUAAAAGUAGUAGUAUUAGUUGUAUAUAUAAUAGUUGUAUUUCACAUAUUUUUUUUAUUUGAAGUUAAAGGAAGUAUCCUGACAACAA
This is a long non-coding RNA of Scophthalmus maximus (turbot), 753 nucleotides long. RefSeq lists it as uncharacterized. Lineage: Eukaryota; Metazoa; Chordata; Actinopteri; Pleuronectiformes; Scophthalmidae. The record is from RefSeq and is a predicted model, not a curated record. The transcript has 2 exons.